GGGGGCGAACGGCUUCGACGGAGUGACUGAGGAGUCCGGGGGCAUGGCGAGGGUCCUCUGUGACCUCGUUAAUCAUGCAGAGGAACUACAGCUGCCAACAACAGCUACGCACUGGCUGCCUAAACAACAGGCAGUCCCUUGACCCGCGAGUUCACCCGGCGCGGAAUCAGGGUCUAACAGGGUGAUCAAGGUCCGGGUUGCGCCUCAGGGUCCGGGCCGGAUCUUUUCUGGGGCUGGGCUGCAACAGCCUGCCGGUCGGCAGAGUUGCGGAUGAGGAUUGUAGACCGGAUAACCAUGUAGAACCCGGGCGCCGAACGCUUCGGACGCGGGUUCGAUUCCCGCCGCCUCCAUAG
This 353-nucleotide transfer-messenger RNA is filed under the name bacterium. RNAcentral's name for it is "g JABLXZ01 X4 Standard tmRNA". It matches the Rfam family "transfer-messenger RNA". Rfam says of the family: Bacterial tmRNA, also known as 10Sa RNA or SsrA, is named for its dual tRNA and mRNA-like properties. Its role is to liberate the mRNA from a stalled ribosome. To accomplish this part of the tmRNA is used as a reading frame that ends in a translation stop signal. RNAcentral also lists the same sequence under 1 other name. The record is from RNAcentral.